This 323-nucleotide long non-coding RNA is filed under the name Medicago truncatula (barrel medic). Its description in RNAcentral is "long non-coding RNA (MTRU_LNC006462)". The record is from RNAcentral. Lineage: Eukaryota; Viridiplantae; Streptophyta; Magnoliopsida; Fabales; Fabaceae.
CUGCCGAUAAUGAAGAUUAUACUGGUGUGAAGGAGGGAGGGGAAACGUUGAAAGAGGAAGAGUUGACUGUACAAGAGGGAGAGAGAGGAAAGGAAGAGUUGAAAGCACCGGAGGGAGAGAGAGGAACGGACAAGUUGAAAGCACAGGAGGGAGAGAGAGGAACGGACAAGUUGAAAGCACAUGAAGGAGAAAAAGGAACGGACGAGUUGAAAGAACAAGGAGAGAAUGGAAAAGAAGAGUUGGACCAACAAAAAAGCGAGAAAGAAAUGGAAGAGUUUAAAGCAGUGGAAGGAGAAGAAGGAAAGGAAGAGCUGAAAGAAUCA